GACGAACGCUGGCGGCGUGCUUAACACAUGCAAGUCGAACGGCAAGGCCCUGCUUUUGUGGGGUGCUCGAGUGGCGAACGGGUGAGUAACACGUGAGUAACCUGCCCUUGACUUUGGGAUAACUUCAGGAAACUGGGGCUAAUACCGGAUAGGAGCUCCUGCUGCAUGGUGGGGGUUGGAGAGUUUCGGCGGUUGGGGAUGGACUCGCGGCUUAUCAGCUUGUUGGUUGGGUAGUGGCUUACCAAGGCUUUGACGGGUAGCCGGCCUGAGAGGGUGACCGGCCACAUUGGGACUGAGAUACGGCCCAGACUCCUACGGGAGGCAGCAGUGGGGAAUAUUGCACAAUGGGCGGAAGCCUGAUGCAGCAACGCCGCGUGCGGGAUGACGGCCUGCGGGUUGUAAACCGCUUUCGCCUGUGACGAAGCGUGAGUGACGGUAAUGGGUAAAGAAGCACCGGCUAACUACGUG
This 468-nucleotide ribosomal RNA is filed under the name uncultured bacterium. Its description in RNAcentral is "partial 16S ribosomal RNA". It matches the Rfam family "Bacterial small subunit ribosomal RNA", at positions 28 to 507 of the family's 1533-position model. The record is from RNAcentral.